CUCGCUGCACAAUCGCUUCCUGCCCGCUCCUGCCCCAGCCCGCGCCGGCUCCGGGCAGCGGAGGCGAUGGCACAGCCGGGAAGGGGGGCCGCGGGGCGGAGACACUUCGUGUACAAAGCCACCGAUGGGUGUUAGAUUUGCCUUCCGUGACCUUACGAUCUCUCCGCGUAAAAUGCUAUUUUACAUCAAAGCAGUCCUUUACUUGAAGGUUUGGUAUAUGACAAACAGUCGACCAGUCUGGCAAGAGCACUUUGACAACUGGAAGCUUUCAGCGCAUGCUCUCCCAAAGAAUCAUGGGGUUUGAAGUCUUACCUACAGAGCAUUCCACUGCUGCUUCCCGAAAGGAAGAGAGCUCGAAAGGAAAAACAAAAAUAUGUGCACACUCCCUCUUCCUAGGGAAAACUGCUGCAAUCUGAAUCAUCAGCUCUGAGAAAAUAUCUGACAGACCGAGCUGAAAGUGACUAACUAAAUAUGAGCUUUUAAACAGUCUGAUUUAGAAGCCCAGAUCAAACAGCCACCUAUUCAGAACAACUGCUAGACAAAGAAAUAAUUCCAGUAUUUCCAAAUUUACCUUACAAACUCCUAGCAUAAAAAAUAAAUUAUAAGCUCAUACCAGCUAUAAAAUUUACAGCUAUUACAAAGGAAAUCGUGUCAUGUUGCUUAGCUGAAGAAUAUAUUAAAUAAUAAUGUCUCAUAAUAUAAUUUCUAAAUAUAUUCUGAAACACAAAUAGGUCAAGUAUGAAAAUUUAAAAACAAAUCAAAAUCAGUACACAGGUGAAAAGCUGUACUAUUUGAACAAUUUCCAAUUUUCAAAUUACAGCUUUUUCAUUACUGAGUUGCUACUACACUGAAAAGUCUACCAAAAAAAUAAUCUGCUCAGAAGAAAAUCAAGGUGUUAAUAUUACUAUUUAACAUUCCAUCUAUUCUGUACAUGGUGGUGCCACACUUCAUCUUCCUCCCUUUCACUACCCACCAUCUACAUAUCCCAGCCUCUACAUCAAUACACAGCUUGACAGGAGUUCUUCUCAUAAGAUAUUAAUAUUGUGAUCAUUAAUGUAGGUCAGGAAAAAUUUUCAGAAUUUCAUUCACUGGCACUUGGUGUUCUGUUUUUCACUAGUCCAUGAAUUAUUCUGCAUAUUUAUACUGGGUAAUUCAUAAUACUACUUAUUCAGACCAAAUAGUAAUGCUCAUAAGGAAAUACAGAGUUGAAAUCAGAAGUGUGAAAAUACCUAAAAGUGCAGGCUGAUUUUCCAAGGAUGAAAUAUGCAUAGCUUUGUGCAUGAAAGAGAAAUGACUAAAGCUGAGAAAGAUAAAUUAGGGCAGUUGAAAGUGAGUUGCUCUAACACUUAUGUCUCUGCUUUCUGCACCCUGUUUAUGUUGGACUGUAUGGUCUGCCUGCCCUACAUCAACACUGUAAUUAAGAGUUUCUCAACACUUGUUCUAACCUGUUUGUGCUACUCUGAAUCAUUAAAGGCAGCAAAACUGCUUUCUUAC
Long non-coding RNA from Parus major (Great Tit), 1494 nucleotides. RefSeq lists it as uncharacterized. The transcript has 2 exons. The record is from RefSeq and is a predicted model, not a curated record. NCBI's taxonomy places the organism in Eukaryota, Metazoa, Chordata, Aves, Passeriformes, Paridae.